UUAACUCUAUUUUGUAUGGAGUUGGAACGUUUGCCUAUGUUUGCCGCUAGGGGCACUGUUUCAGCUGCAUACUAAUUUCAGGUA
Non-coding RNA from Bombyx mori (domestic silkworm), 84 nucleotides. The record is from Rfam. Lineage: Eukaryota; Metazoa; Arthropoda; Insecta; Lepidoptera; Bombycidae.